Molecule: ribosomal RNA, 781 nt
Filed under: Lichtheimia corymbifera
Lineage: Eukaryota; Fungi; Mucoromycota; Mucoromycetes; Mucorales; Lichtheimiaceae
Description: eukaryotic LSU rRNA
Rfam family: 5.8S ribosomal RNA (bases 232-385)
Source: RNAcentral
UCUUGGGUUGAGUUUCUUUACUCUUCUCUUGAGUUUCCUCACGGUUUUGUGCAAUGUUGGGUCACCUUGGUUGACUCUGCCCUAAGUUAUUGGGCUGGCCUUUGGGGCCCCUAGUAUGAUUUAUCAUACUAACCCCAGAGGUUAAUUUCUACUAUGUCUAUGAAUUGAUGUAUGAAAAAAGUUAUUUGUUAACUUGAAGGCUUUUGCUGUAAAAAGUGAGUCUUUAAAAACAACUCUUGGCAAUGGAUCUCUUGGUUCUCGCAUCGAUGAAGAGCGUAGCAAAGUGCGAUAAUUAUUGCGACUUGCAUUCAUAGUGAAUCAUCGAGUUCUUGAACGCAUCUUGCGCCUAGUAGUCAAUCUACUAGGCACAGUUGUUUCAGUAUCUGCAUCCACCAAUCAACACGACUUGCUUGUGUUGGAACUGGGCUUACUUUUGAUGGCAUUUAGUUGCUGUCAUGGCCUUAAAUGUAUUUAGUCCUAGGUGUUAACUUGUUAAUGCCGGAUGGAGACUCUAGAGUGCCUUAGAAGCAGCUUGGUUAGUGAGUUCAUAAUUCCAAGUGUUAGUCUUUUAUUGAACUGGGUUUCUAGUCUAUGGGACAUGGAGUCGUAAGACUCUUAAACAACAAACUCACAUUUAGAUCUGAAAUCAACUGAGACCACCCGCUGAACUUAAGCAUAUCAAAAGCGCGGAGGGAAGAUCAAUACUGAAAGGUUACUAAGACUCUUGGGUUGGAGUUUCUUUACUCUUCUCUUGAGUUUUCUCACGGUUUUGUGCAAUGUU